This 74-nucleotide transfer RNA is filed under the name Bos taurus (domestic cattle). It matches the Rfam family "tRNA". From Rfam's summary of the family: Transfer RNA (tRNA) molecules are approximately 80 nucleotides in length. Their secondary structure includes four short double-helical elements and three loops (D, anti-codon, and T loops). The record is from Rfam by way of RNAcentral. RNAcentral also lists the same sequence under 4 other names. Lineage: Eukaryota; Metazoa; Chordata; Mammalia; Artiodactyla; Bovidae.
UCCCUGGUAGUCCAGUGGCUAAGCCUCUGGCACUCCCAAUGCAGGGGACCUGGGUUCAAUCCCUGGUCAGGGAA